AGCUCCGUGUGAAGAACACAUUGAUUGCAAAUCCGAAGACGCAGAUAAUGACUCCUGCCGGGCUU
Molecule: transfer RNA, 65 nt
Filed under: Cyprinus carpio (common carp)
Lineage: Eukaryota; Metazoa; Chordata; Actinopteri; Cypriniformes; Cyprinidae
Description: tRNA-Cys
Source: RNAcentral